UCGCAAUGAAUAUAAAGACAUGCAAUUAAUAGUAAUUUUUAUGGGACGUUUAAAAAUCCCAAUAAAAAUCUUAUACGGUGGAACGAUAUUUAACUUUGCAUUCACUUUCUGCUGGAGACAAUUAGAGCAUUAAACUUAUUUUCCGCAAAUGAAUAACAAUUUAUUAUUUUAUUUCUGCAUCAUUUCUAAUAUUUAAAUAUUCGGUUCAAUUAAGAUGAAUAAAAAGAAGCAGACAGAAAUUACAACAAUAUUUUUACAAUAAGAUAAGAUAUUCAAAAAUAAGAUUGAAACCUAUUGUUAAUUUAAAAUAAUCUUAUAAAAAGUUGUCACAACUGUAAUCUAAAGGCUAAUGUACUAGUGUUUAAUGUAUACUUACGACUUGAUUUUGAGUACAUUUCAAGUUUUAUUCAUUGAGCGAUGCUAUAUUUUAUAUUUACAAAAUGUUUUUAUCCAUUUCAUUAUUUAUCGAUAUCGCUGAACACAGAUACAGCAAAUAAAUCGAUAUUCGCCGCUAGAUAAAUGCAAACAAUGCUCAAUUUAUAAGAAAAAAAAAAAACUUGUAACGAAAGAGUAACAAACGUGGCAAUUAUUUUUAAUUUGUUAAAAUUAGUCAUUGAUUUCCCUUUAUUUUUUAUCGUUGUUUCUGAAGUAUAAAGAUAUAAACGAACAUUUGAUUAUUUACAUUUUUGACGUUAAUUUAUAAACUGAAUACUGUAUUUAAAACACAUUAUACUCAGACGUUUUAUUAAAUUGUAUCAAUGAAGAUAAAGUAAGCUUCUGACUAUACGUUAAUUUCCAUUUCCCAUUUCCUCUGAAAAUACAUUUAAUAUAUGAAUGUAGAAAACUUGAUAUAAAAGCACUUUGUAGAUCACUAGGAAGCAACGAAAAAAAGGCGUGAAAUGGAAGAGCGAAGGAAAGAAGUGAGCCGUCCUCAAUCACAAAGAGAAAGGAUUAACGUCGCAAUCUCACAAUACCUUGUAUAAUAUUUAAUUAUCCCGGUUAGAAGCGGAAUAUGCUAUGAGUUCUACCUGUUAAAAUCAUAUAAAUACGCCGACAACAUAGAAAUUCUUAACAGAUGUAAUAAAGACAUCAACGAAUAUAAAGCUUACGUUGGAGUUAUUUAUAUUUGCUUUUGCUUUUUCUCCAAUUAUUUGUUGGCACGAUUCAACAAAUGUUAAACCUGCGGAUCCUUACAAAGCUCUUAUACAGUCCAAUGGACGAUACUGUGCCAUGAGCGAUGAUGAUAGGGCCGAUGUUAAUUUUUGCUUGUUGGAAAACAGAAAUUUUCUUUUGUUGGAAUUCUACAAAAACUGUAUUCAGCAACUGAAAUUCUUUCAAACUAUGGCAGAAAUCAACAAUUUCAUUUGUCAAUCCAGA
Molecule: long non-coding RNA, 1377 nt
Organism: Centruroides sculpturatus (bark scorpion)
Lineage: Eukaryota; Metazoa; Arthropoda; Arachnida; Scorpiones; Buthidae
Exons: 5
Source: RefSeq, a predicted model, not a curated record